UAAGAUGGUAAUUGGGUUUCUCAGAUUGUUCUAUUUGGAAAAUGUCACAUUUCAGAGAUUCUGCUGCCUUUCUUUCCAGGAUAGAAGGUGAGAUUCAAGAAAGCUUUUGUGGAUAUAGAAAGGGCAAAUUGCCUCAUCAGUCAUCCACUCCAUCUUCAACUACUCUAAUAACUCUCAUUCCAGUGCUCAGCUGAGGCACAGACUCAAGGCCAAAGUCUACUUCUGAGAUAUAGGAAGAGUAGCAGGUUUCAUUUAUAUGAGAGACACAAGGAGUUUGCACAAGUCAUAUCCUUGCCAUAUCUGAUUAUAUUAAACUCACUGCACAGUGGAAGCAGUAGUGACCAACACAGAGCAAAGAUGAAAAGAAGGAAAACUUCUUCGUUAUUUUCUUCUCUCUCAAGUAGUAGAGAUCCUGGCCAACCUGGAUCCUUGGAUGAGUAUAUAGAACAGAAGACUCUUCCGAUUACCAAGCCUACCUGAACACAUAUCAAUGACCAAGAAACAAACUUUCCAUGUUGUUUUUAAGCAAUUUAUAUGUUACAGUGCACUAGAACCACCUAAUUAAGGUAAGUACAUUAGUGAUUGUAGUAAUGACUAUUAGAGAGAUGGGAAAGCACAGUUUAGCAAAAUUUUAGCAAAAAAGGGUAACAUACAUGUGAAAUGAGAAAAUCUUAUCCACAUUUUAACUGGAAAUUUUUAUUCAGUUAAAACAAGAAGAAUUGAUCCUUUUUUU
RNAcentral lists this long non-coding RNA (733 nucleotides) under Vulpes vulpes (red fox). RNAcentral describes it as "lncRNA (ENSVVUG00000029371.1)". The record is from RNAcentral. Lineage: Eukaryota; Metazoa; Chordata; Mammalia; Carnivora; Canidae.